Molecule: ribosomal RNA, 565 nt
Filed under: uncultured bacterium
Lineage: Bacteria
Description: bacterial SSU rRNA
Rfam family: Bacterial small subunit ribosomal RNA
Source: RNAcentral
ACUCCUACGGGAGGCAGCAAUUAGGAAUCUUGCACAAUGGGGGAAACCCUGAUGCAGCGACGCCGCGUGGAGGAGGAAGUCCUUCGGGAUGUAAACUCCUUUUCUGGGGGAAGAAACAAAUGACGGUACCCCAGGAAUAAGCUCCGGCUAACUACGUGCCAGCAGCCGCGGUAAUACGUAGGGAGCGAGCGUUGUCCGAAGUUACUGGGCGUAAAGCGCGCGUAGGCGGGUUAUUAAGUGAGAGGUGAAAUUCCAGGGCUCAACCCGGGGACUGCCUCUCAUACUGAUAGUCUUGAGUGAGGUAGAGAGAAGUGGAAUGGCUGGUGUAGCGGUGAAAUGCGUAGAUAUCAGUCGGAACACCGGUGGCGAAGGCGGCUUCUUGGGCCUUUACUGACGCUGAUGCGCGAAAGCCAGGGUAGCGAACGGGAUUAGAUACCCUGGUAGUCCACGCCGUAAACGAUGAGUGCUAGACGCUGGUAGGUUUACCUAUCGGUGUCGCAGCUAACGCAUUAAGCACUCCGCCUGGGGAGUACGGUCGCAAGAUUAAAACUUAAAGGAAUUGACG